This 2309-nucleotide long non-coding RNA is filed under the name Mus musculus (house mouse). RNAcentral's name for it is "long non-coding RNA chr10:130381854-130384163". The record is from RNAcentral. Lineage: Eukaryota; Metazoa; Chordata; Mammalia; Rodentia; Muridae.
AUGAAUACACAAAUAAAAACUAUGGAAGAUGAUAAAGAGGAAAUUGAUUAUUUUUAUCUUCUUCAUGAAGAUGAUAUGCUUCAUGGAGUGGCAAGUGUUGCUAUAGCAUAAUUGACCAGGAUAGUGCUUUACAGCAACAAUAAAGGCAAUUUCUGCUCAACUUUAAAAUGUUUGCUUGAUUUAUACAGGGAGUGAGAGAAAUAUUGAAUCAACAGUGGAUUUUCCCUUGGGCUUCUGCAGACCAAGGAGCAGUAUGUCAAGUGUAGAGAUGAUACACAUGCCAACUCAGAGCAAACCCUUUGCCUUCAAUAAACUGUCAUUAUCGACUUAAGAAUCUCUCUUGGGGAUGUCUAACCUGAAUGGCUUUGUUGCCAUAGACCUUCUUAGGCUUUUUCUGAAUUACCAUGACACCCACACUGUCACUCAAGUUUUUCAUUGUAGUCAUUCUGAGUGCAGUAGGAUGGAAUCUCAGAGACAUUUUGAUUAGUCUUUCCUCGAUAUUAAGGAGGAUGAACACUUUUAAUUUCUUCUUGGUCAAUAGAGAUUCUUCUGUUGAGACUUCUGUUUAGCUCUGCAUAUCAUUUUGAACUGGAUUAUCUGAUUUGUUGAUGUCCAAUUUCAUACAAGCUCUCCAUCAGGUAUUGUGUUGUUGCAGAUAUUUUCCCAUUCUUUAGAUUUCAGUUUUCCCCUUUGAUAGCACCUUUUGCCUUACAAAAUAUUUUCUUCUUCUUGAUGUCCCAUUUAUUAAUUGUUCGUCUUAGAACCUGAGCUGUUGGUGUUUUAUUCAGGAAGUUGUUUCCUGGGACUAUAGAUUCAAGAUUAUUCCCCAUUUUCUCUUCUAUUAAAUUUAGUGUAUCUGGUUUCUGUUUGAGGUCUUUGAUCCACUUAGUCUUCAGUUUUUAUAGGGUGAUAGACAGAUCAAUUUUUAUUCUUCCACAAGCAGACAUCCUCUUGGAACAACACCAUUUGUUGAAGAUGCUUUCAUUUUUCCAUUGUAUAGUUUUGGGUUCUUUGUCAAAUAUCAAGUAUCCAUAGUUGUAUGGAUUUAUUUUGAGGUCUUCAUUUAAUUCCAUCAAUCAAUCUGUUUGUUUUUAAGUUCAUAGCAUGUGUUUUUGUUUGUUUAUUGUUUUUGUUGUUUGUAAAUGUUGCCUUUUAGUAGAGCUUGAAAUUAGGAAUUGUGAUAACUCCAGAGAUUCUUUUUAUGUGCCAGGGUUGAUUUAGCUGUCCUGGGUGUUUUUUUUUCCAUAUGAGAUUGAGUACUGUUCAUUCAAGGUCUGCAAAGAAUUGUCUUGGAAUUUUGAUCAGAAUUGCAUUGCAAAUGUUGAAUGCUUUUGGGAAGGUGUCCAUUUUUACUAUGUAAUCCUACCAAUCCAUGAGCAUUGGCAAUCUUUCCAUCUUCUGAUACCUUUCUCAAUUCUUUCUUCAAAGACUUGAAGUUCUUGUAUACUUCUUUCCCUUGCUUGGAUAAAGUUAAACAAAGGAAUUUUAUAUUAUUUGUGGCUAUUGUGAAGGGUACUGUUUCCCUGAUUUCUUGCUCACCUCAUUUAUCAUUUGAGUAAAGAAGGACUACUGAUUGUAGAGUUGCGUUCGAUUCUUAGAUAGAACAUAAAGUUGGGUGAGUAGAGAGGUGGGAAGGAUUUGGGAAACAUUUACGGAGAGAAAAACCUUAGUCAACAUAUAUGAAAGUUUUAGAAUUUAGAAUAUUAAAUGUCAAGAUCUAAUAUGAUCUGUCAUAAAAACAAAACAGUAUAGAUUUAAGGAGGGAACAAUUAAUAAAGUCUUAGGGCAUGAGUUAAUUGUAGUGGCUUGGGAAUUAGAUUUCAUGACCUGGGAUCAGUCAUAUGUAGUUCCCCACAAAUCAAUCAUUAAUCUAUAGCUGAUUACUAUAUCAGUGGUAUUGAAAAUAUUUAGCUCUGUCUAAAAUAUUUCUUUCAUGUGAAUAGUAGUAUAAACUUCUUCCCAGAAAUCAUGAGAAGUGAUGGAGAAAAUUACAGGAAGUUGCAUUUUAUAAAUGAUUUUCAAACCCAUAAUGAAACUGUAGCCUUCAGGUGAUGGAUGUUAAUCUCUUUGUGCAGUGUUGAUCAUAUGAAUCUACACCAAUUUUAUAUGUGUGUUUCUGUAGCAUUAACUCCACAGGUUUCCUUUGUUCCCUUAAUACCAGUCCUUUCUAUAAGCAUUUCACCUCUUCCAAUUUUAAACAUGUUCUCACCAAAGGUACUAAAUCACUGCCUGGCUAUCAGUAUCUCAGGCAUAUUCAUAGGCACAUUUAAUUUAAUUCAUGGGCAAGAAUUAUUAGACUUGAUUGAUUG